GGGGUUGUAGCUUAGUGGUAGAGCACUUGCCUAGUAUGCAUGAGAACUUGAAUUAAAUUUCCAGCACUA
Molecule: transfer RNA, 69 nt
Filed under: Heterocephalus glaber (naked mole-rat)
Lineage: Eukaryota; Metazoa; Chordata; Mammalia; Rodentia; Bathyergidae
Rfam family: tRNA
About the family: Transfer RNA (tRNA) molecules are approximately 80 nucleotides in length.
Source: Rfam by way of RNAcentral